RNAcentral lists this ribosomal RNA (449 nucleotides) under uncultured bacterium. Its description in RNAcentral is "partial 16S ribosomal RNA". It matches the Rfam family "Bacterial small subunit ribosomal RNA", at positions 29 to 523 of the family's 1533-position model. The record is from RNAcentral.
AAUGAACACUGGCGGCAGGCCUAACACAUGCAAGUCGAACGGAUCCUUCGGGAUUAGUGGCGGACGGGUGAGUAACGCGUGGGAACAUACCCAAAGGUACGGAAUAGCCUCGGGAAACUGGGAGUAAUACCGUAUGUGCUCGAAAGAGGAAAGAUUUAUCGCCUUUGGAUUGGCCCGCGUUGGAUUAGGUAGUUGGUGGGGUAAUGGCCUACCAAGCCGACGAUCCAUAGCUGGUUUGAGAGGAUGAUCAGCCACACUGGGACUGAGACACGGCCCAGACUCCUACGGGAGGCAGCAGUGGGGAAUCUUAGACAAUGGGGGAAACCCUGAUCUAGCCAUGCCGCGUGAUCGAUGAAGGCCUUAGGGUUGUAAAGAUCUUUCAGGUGGGAAGAUAAUGACUGUACCACCAGAAGAAGCUCCGGCUAACUCCGUGCCAGCAGCCGCGGUAA